RNAcentral lists this ribosomal RNA (492 nucleotides) under uncultured bacterium. RNAcentral's name for it is "partial 16S ribosomal RNA". It matches the Rfam family "Bacterial small subunit ribosomal RNA", at positions 29 to 507 of the family's 1533-position model. The record is from RNAcentral.
AGUGAACGCUGGCGGUAGGCCUAACACAUGCAAGUCGAACGGCAGCACAGUAAGAGCUUGCUCUUACGGGUGGCGAGUGGCGGACGGGUGAGGAAUACAUCGGAAUCUACUUUUUCGUGGGGGAUAACGUAGGGAAACUUACGCUAAUACCGCAUACGACCUACGGGUGAAAGCAGGGGAUCUUCGGACCUUGCGCGAUUGAAUGAGCCGAUGUCGGAUUAGCUAGUUGGCGGGGUAAAGGCCCACCAAGGCGACGAUCCGUAGCUGGUCUGAGGGGAUGAUCAGCCACACUGGAACUGAGACACGGUCCAGACUCCUACGGGAGGCAGCAGUGGGGAAUAUUGGACAAUGGGCGCAAGCCUGAUCCAGCCAUACCGCGUGGGUGAAGAAGGCGUUCGGGUUGUAAAGCCCUUUUGUUGGGAAAGAAAAGCAGCAGGUUAAUACCCCGCUGUUCUGACGGUACCCAAAGAAUAAGCACCGGCUAACUUCGUG